CCAGCCCGCGUCAAGAAACUUAAAGGAAUUGGACCGGGGCCCGCACAAGCGGAGGAGCAUGUGGUUUAAUCGAUGAUACGCGAGGAACCUUACCGUGGGCUCGAACGUAAGAUGACUGUAGGUGAAAGCUUACAUCUCUUCGGAGCAUUUUACGAGGUGCUGCAUGGUUGUCGUCAGCUCGUGCCGUGAGGUGUCGGGUUAAGUCCCAUAACGAGCGCAACCCCUUACCUUUAGUUGCCAUCAGGUAAUGCUGGGGACUCUAAAGGAACUGCCUACGCAAGUAGUGAGGAAGGCGGGGAUGACGUCAAAUCAGCACGGCCCUUACGUCCAGGGCUACACACGUGCUACAAUGGCCGAUACAGAGGGCAGCUACCUGGUGACAGGAUGCAAAUCUCCAAAGUCGGUCUCAGUUCGGAUCGGAGUCUGCAACCCGACUCCGUGAAGUUGGAUUCGCUAGUAAUCGCGCAUCAGCCAUGGCGCGGUGAAUACGUUCCCGGGCCUU
This 502-nucleotide ribosomal RNA is filed under the name uncultured Sphingobacteriales bacterium. Its description in RNAcentral is "bacterial SSU rRNA". It matches the Rfam family "Bacterial small subunit ribosomal RNA", at positions 903 to 1382 of the family's 1533-position model. Lineage: Bacteria; Pseudomonadati; Bacteroidota; Sphingobacteriia; Sphingobacteriales. The record is from RNAcentral.